RNAcentral lists this ribosomal RNA (253 nucleotides) under uncultured bacterium. Its description in RNAcentral is "partial 16S ribosomal RNA". It matches the Rfam family "Bacterial small subunit ribosomal RNA", at positions 524 to 776 of the family's 1533-position model. The record is from RNAcentral.
UACGUAGGGUGCGAGCGUUAAUCGGAAUUACUGGGCGUAAAGAGCGUGUAGGCGGCUUGGUAAGUCCGCUGUGAAAGUCCAGGGCUCAACCCUGGAAUGCCGGUGGAAACUGUCAAGCUUGAGUCCGGAAGAGGCGAGUGGAAUUCCUGGUGUAGCGGUGAAAUGCGCAGAUAUCAGGAGGAACACCAAUGGCGAAGGCAGCUCGCUGGGACGGUACUGACGCUGAGACGCGAAAGCGUGGGGAGCAAACAGG